GAAAUACAUAUGGUCAAAACCGGCUAUCGUUGGCUGCUUUAAAUCCGCGUCCGCCCUCAGAGAAACGUGCGCGCGGCGGCUCCAACUACAAACGUCCAUUGUUUUCUGGCCUCGAUUGGUCGCGCCUGGAGGGAUCCGACUUGAGCGUUGACGGUCUGUCACAUUUCACGCUGACACCGAGCGAACACUAGGCGCACACACACAACCAUUCACAGCCACUCACACAAGCGGGGCUCACAAUAUAUCGACACAUCCUGGAGCUUAUCCGAGGAGAGCACGCUGAAGUGACUGAAAGCGUCUUCUGUUUGAGGAAACGAGAGGAAAACAGCAAAAAGGAACAGAGGAAAUCCCCCAAAAGGAAAUGCCAAUCGCAGCCGCUGGACAGCCCUCGACUCAGGAGCCUCGCGUUUGCCCCCGGCUGCCCUCCACCCCAGAACCUGUCCCCAAAGGGGCUGAUUUAUUCGACGAGGCGGGGGUGGCGGAAUCUGCGGAGCGGACAGACUACGGGGGUGCAGAGGGCGGCUUUAGUUACAGCCUCGGCGGCGCUCGGAGCUUCCUACAGCCCGGAUCCACCAGCUUCUCUCCGCCGCAGUCCCCCGCCGCGUCCUCCUCGUUUCUCUUCCACCCCCUUCACGCGCACCAAAUGGCUAUGGAGCCCCCGAGGACUCGAUCGCGUUCUCGCUCAGGAUAUUACCAGCAGUACUCUGGUAUGAAUGGCAAUGGGAUUACAGGGAGCACGGUCAUGGGAUCCAGCCACCACCUCCUCCACCACCACCACCACCACCAUCAGCAACUCCUUCCACAGCAGCUGCAUCCAGCCGGCUGCGCACCACUAGGAGCUCACGGGAGCCAAGAAAACCAGCAGCGAGCCCCAGGAAGUAACGCCUCUGCCGGCAUCCAGAGGUUUUCCUCAGUGAAUGGUUCACACCGCAUCCCAGCUCCAGGAGCUUCUGGUGGGUCGUACCUCUGCCACCCAGACCACGCUUACGGGGAGGAGAGUGAUAAGAGUGAGGAAAGCCCCAGUCCGAAGCGCCAGAGGCUGUCCAGCCAGUCUGUCUUGGAGCAGCUCACCUCUUCUGCCCCACCACCUUCAACCCAUCACCCCCCAUCCGCCCCUGGGAGUCGGGACCGCCCAAUCGCAGACCCCCUCACCCCCACGCACACUACCACCAGGAGCGGUGCCUCACUCCAGCGCGGCUCCGGCGCAGGUAAGAACUCUUAUCAUUUCUAA
Molecule: long non-coding RNA, 1231 nt
Filed under: Neogobius melanostomus (round goby)
Lineage: Eukaryota; Metazoa; Chordata; Actinopteri; Gobiiformes; Gobiidae
Description: lncRNA (ENSNMLG00000000888.1)
Source: RNAcentral